GAUGAACGCUGGCGGCGUGCUUAACACAUGCAAGUCGAACGGGAAACAUUUUAUUGAAGCUUCGGCAGAUUUAGCUUGUUUCUAGUGGCGGACGGGUGAGUAACGCGUGGGUAACCUGCCUUAUACUGGGGGAUAACAGCCAGAAAUGACUGCUAAUACCGCAUAAGCGCACAGAACCGCAUGGUUCAGUGUGAAAAACUCCGGUGGUAUAAGAUGGACCCGCGUUGGAUUAGCUAGUUGGCAGGGCAGCGGCCUACCAAGGCGACGAUCCAUAGCCGGCCUGAGAGGGUGAACGGCCACAUUGGGACUGAGACACGGCCCAGACUCCUACGGGAGGCAGCAGUGGGGAAUAUUGCACAAUGGGGGAAACCCUGAUGCAGCGACGCCGCGUGAAGGAAGAAGUAUCUCGGUAUGUAAACUUCUAUCAGCAGGGAAGAUAAUGACGGUACCUGACUAAGAAGCCCCGGCUAACUA
RNAcentral lists this ribosomal RNA (474 nucleotides) under uncultured bacterium. Its description in RNAcentral is "bacterial SSU rRNA". It matches the Rfam family "Bacterial small subunit ribosomal RNA", at positions 28 to 503 of the family's 1533-position model. The record is from RNAcentral.